AGUGAACGCUGGCGGUAGGCCUAACACAUGCAAGUCGAACGGCAGCACAGUAAGAGCUUGCUCUUACGGGUGGCGAGUGGCGGACGGGUGAGGAAUACAUCGGAAUCUACUUUUUCGUGGGGGAUAACGUAGGGAAACUUACGCUAAUACCGCAUACGACCUACGGGUGAAAGCAGGGGAUCUUCGGACCUUGCGCGAUUGAAUGAGCCGAUGUCGGAUUAGCUAGUUGGCGGGGUAAAGGCCCACCAAGGCGACGAUCCGUAGCUGGUCCGAGAGGAUGAUAAGCCACACUGGAACUGAGACAAGGUCCAGACUCCGACGGGAGGCAGCAGUGGGGAAUAUUGGACAAGGGGCGCAAGCCUGAUCCAGCCAUACCGCGUGGGUGAAGAAGGACUUAGGGUUGUAAAGCCCUGUUGUUGGGAAAGAAAAGCAGCAGGUUAAUACGCCGCUGUUCUGACGGUACCGAAAGAAUAAGCACCGGCUAACUUCGUG
RNAcentral lists this ribosomal RNA (492 nucleotides) under uncultured bacterium. Its description in RNAcentral is "partial 16S ribosomal RNA". It matches the Rfam family "Bacterial small subunit ribosomal RNA", at positions 29 to 507 of the family's 1533-position model. The record is from RNAcentral.